This 770-nucleotide ribosomal RNA is filed under the name Cryptes baccatus. RNAcentral describes it as "partial 28S ribosomal RNA". It matches the Rfam family "Eukaryotic large subunit ribosomal RNA", at positions 462 to 897 of the family's 3401-position model. Lineage: Eukaryota; Metazoa; Arthropoda; Insecta; Hemiptera; Coccidae. The record is from RNAcentral.
UCCGGGCGCGCGGAAUUCAGAACCGACGAGCAUACUUCGUCGAUUCGAUAUUUCCGCCGCCGACCCGUAGAAACGGGUGCGGACGUCGCGACCCGUUCGUCGUCGAUCUGACGAGUCGCGUUUCGAGUUCGAGGCGCGCGCGUUUCGUUCGCGUGCGCGCGCGUCGCGAUGGCGCGAUACUCGGAUCGGCGUGCGCGGACGGUAGCUGUGAACGCGCGGGUAAUCGACGCCGACGAUAUACGGUCGUAUUGCUGCGACGGUAUAUGUUCGAGCGUCGACGCCGGUCAGCGACGAAUUUUCGGGCCUCUUUCCGACCCGUCUUGAAACACGGACCAAGGAGUCUAACGUGCGCGCGAGUCGCGGGGUACUCGAGUCGUUAGUUUUUUUUCGUUUUUUUUUUUUUUUCUAAAGAAAAAAGUGGAAAAAGACGACGCGAUUCGUUACACGAACGAAACCCGUUAUACGUACGUUGUGCGAAGGCGUAAUGAAAGUGAGGCGACGCGUUUCGGCGCGUCGCCGGGGAAGACGGUGCUAUUUCCGUGUACACGUUCCUCGGUCGCACCGUGUAACCGAGGCCGGACACCCGCAUUCCCAGGGCGUCCCGUCCGUCCGUCGAUGGCGCGGACGUGCGUUCGCGUACGUCGGCCGUCGACGAACUGGGGCGCACCUAUAGCGUGCACGUUGGUACCCGAAAGAUGGUGAACUAUGCCCGGCCAGGAUGAAGUCAGGGGAAACCCUGAUGGAGGUCCGCAGCGAUUCUGACGUGCAAA